GAUGAAUUACCCUGCCAUUCCAGCUCAGCGCUUUAUUGACCUGGACGCCAUCACAAGCCAAUGUGAGAUCCUGUGUGCUGGAAAUCCUAAUGUGUUAUUGAAAUACUAGCUCAGGAUACUCUGAGUCAGCUAAGGCCAAUAGUAUUGGAACGAAUAUGCUCUGUACUUGGAGCCUACCUUAAUUCACCCCCUGUGGAAAGUGACGAAGUCUAUAGCACAGACAGAGGCUCUGUGUAUCAAAACUUUUUCCCCGAGGAGUUCAUACACAACCCACCCUUUGAGGUAACUGCAGACCCCUGGGGGCCAGCCGUCGCCCUCCCCCGGGACUCAGAUAACCAGACAGACACCCCCCUUUUCAACGCUACCCCGCAGCAGCAGCAGCCUAUAUCUGAAACCUUCCUACAAAUUCCACCAGAACUGCAGGCUGAUUUUGACACUUUCAGUGCCUAUCUGGACGACUUUGAGUUGCACCCCGUUCAAGACACACUCCUAACGAGUCAGACAGACUCACCCCCUAGUCCUCGGGUCGAGGGUGAACCAUCAGCACAGAAUAUUCGAGAGAUCCAAGCCGGUAUAUCACUCGUCACAGAUCCCCUCCUGACGAGAUAUCACCCCGAUCAGUCAAGCUAUUAUCAAGGUGACCAACACUGCUGCUACUGCCAUCUUUAUGGACACACCUACUGAGGGUCUCGUGUAAAUUGAUGCCGAUGUAACCGACCGGUACGUUUCUUCAGCUGUGACAAAUGUAUUUCUGAUUUUUGUUUCAUAAACGGUCAAACAUGGAUGAUUUAGCAGAUAGAUAAUUUUCUUUUCUUCAGUCUAUAAACGACAUAAAUGAACUAAGCAGUGAUGAGGAA
Molecule: long non-coding RNA, 857 nt
Organism: Gymnodraco acuticeps
Lineage: Eukaryota; Metazoa; Chordata; Actinopteri; Perciformes; Bathydraconidae
Exons: 5
Source: RefSeq, a predicted model, not a curated record